UACAGAGGUCCCGAGCGUUUGUUCGGAUUCAUUGGGCGUAAAGGGUGCGUAGGCGGCGGGGCAAGUCUGAUGUGAAAUCCCGGGGCUCAACCCCGGAACUGCAUUGGAUACUGCCUUGCUUGAGUACUGGAGAGGGAACUGGAAUUUACGGUGUAGCAGUGAAAUGCGUAGAGAUCGUAAGGAAGGCCAGUGGCGAAGGCGAGUUCCUGGACAGUGACUGACGCUGAGGCACGAAGGCCAGGGGAGCAAACGGGG
RNAcentral lists this ribosomal RNA (255 nucleotides) under uncultured bacterium. Its description in RNAcentral is "partial 16S ribosomal RNA". It matches the Rfam family "Bacterial small subunit ribosomal RNA", at positions 524 to 777 of the family's 1533-position model. The record is from RNAcentral.